CCCUAUAUGAAAUUAGACUUUUAUUUACAUGUCAAAGAGACAUGAUAUACCAUUUGUAAAUCGUGUCACAUUGUAUUACAUUGCAUUGGCUUAGAUACUUUAGAUAAAGAAAAUUUAACACUCAAAACAUAAUUAUUACUACUACAUACAUAUUUAAUUUAAUCAUGGCAGCAUAUGAACGAGCUGACUAGCUGCCUACCUUUGUACAUAUUAACCCAUAAAUACUAUAUUAUUUAUCUUAUAACUAAAGGGAAGAGGAUUAAUUCACCAUUUAUUUCAUUGACAUUCUUCAACAUACAUAACAAACACAG
Molecule: long non-coding RNA, 311 nt
Filed under: Medicago truncatula (barrel medic)
Lineage: Eukaryota; Viridiplantae; Streptophyta; Magnoliopsida; Fabales; Fabaceae
Description: lncRNA gene44842
Source: RNAcentral